This is a non-coding RNA of Strongylocentrotus purpuratus (purple sea urchin), 71 nucleotides long. The record is from Rfam. Lineage: Eukaryota; Metazoa; Echinodermata; Echinoidea; Camarodonta; Strongylocentrotidae.
GCGCGAUAGCUCAGUUGGUAGAGCAGUGGUCUUAUAAUCCGGUGACCCGGGUUCAAAACCAAGUUGAUGCG